CGACAUCCGACAGUCAUUCUUCUUUCGGUUCUUCUCGCUAUACCCUAUGGUUGAUUCUAUACUACACACACGUGUUGUCCGUAAUUCACAAGUGAAGCAGUAUCUUGUGCGAGAGAAAUGAAGGUUUGCUGAGUCUCUGAAAUUGAUAAUGGCAACAACUCAAGGUUGGCCAAGUCUCUGAAAUUUAUAAUGGCAACAACUCCAGCCAACUUCACACUUAAGCCGCA
This is a long non-coding RNA of Trachymyrmex septentrionalis, 227 nucleotides long. RefSeq lists it as uncharacterized. The transcript is spliced from 5 exons. NCBI's taxonomy places the organism in Eukaryota, Metazoa, Arthropoda, Insecta, Hymenoptera, Formicidae. The record is from RefSeq and is a predicted model, not a curated record.